Molecule: long non-coding RNA, 466 nt
Filed under: Homo sapiens (human)
Lineage: Eukaryota; Metazoa; Chordata; Mammalia; Primates; Hominidae
Description: long intergenic non-protein coding RNA 2739
Rfam family: tRNA (bases 357-429)
Source: RNAcentral
GGGGCGCGCUCACCGGAUCGCCGGCGAGCUACGGCUACCACCCGUCAUCUCUUUUCAGCUAAUCUGCUUCGCGCUACUUUUUUGAGGGCUAAGACACGCGUAGGCGGUGCAGACAGUUCAAUUCGUGGGCGGCUUUUUCUCUCCCCUGCGCGGUUUUGCAGAACUGAGGAUUCACGUUUGCCACGCAGUCUCUAAAUCCUCCUCCCAGCCCUCGCCGGAUUUCUGCAUCGGAAUUGGAUUGGAUCACACACAAAAGAAGAGCCCAGGAACUCGUUCACCACCUUGCACCUUGCCUGUUAGUUCACGGCAUAAUGGUAACAGAGUCUUCAUUAAUGGAAGCAACGUUACUACCGUGAGCCCGGAUAGCUCAGUCGGUAGAGCAUCAGACUUUUAAUCUGAGGGUCCAGGGUUCAAGUCCCUGUUCGGGCGGUAUCUUUUUUUUCCUCAUUAAAAGAGUAAGAACCAA